Molecule: ribosomal RNA, 497 nt
Filed under: uncultured bacterium
Lineage: Bacteria
Description: partial 16S ribosomal RNA
Rfam family: Bacterial small subunit ribosomal RNA
Source: RNAcentral
GAUGAACGCUGGCGGCGUGCCUAAUACAUGCAAGUCGAACGCAUAGCGAAAGGUGCUUGCACCUUUCAAGUGAGUGGCGAACGGGUGAGUAACACGUGGACAACCUGCCUCAAGGCUGGGGAUAACAUUUGGAAACAGAUGCUAAUACCGAAUAAAACUUAGUGUCGCAUGUCACAAAGUUAAAAGGCGCUUCGGCGUCACCUAGAGAUGGAUCCGCGGUGCAUUAGUUAGUUGGUGGGGUAAAGGCCUACCAAGACAAUGAUGCAUAGCCGAGUUGAGAGACUGAUCGGCCACAUUGGGACUGAGACACGGCCCAAACUCCUACGGGAGGCUGCAGUAGGGAAUCUUCCACAAUGGGCGAAAGCCUGAUGGAGCAACGCCGCGUGUGUGAUGAAGGCUUUCGGGUCGUAAAGCACUGUUGUAUGGGAAGAACAGCUAGAAUAGGAAAUGAUUUUAGUUUGACGGUACCAUACCAGAAAGGGACGGCUAAAUACGUG